RNAcentral lists this ribosomal RNA (513 nucleotides) under uncultured bacterium. RNAcentral describes it as "partial 16S ribosomal RNA". It matches the Rfam family "Bacterial small subunit ribosomal RNA", at positions 899 to 1397 of the family's 1533-position model. The record is from RNAcentral.
ACUCAAAGGAAUUGACGGGGACCCGCACAAGCGGUGGAACAUGUGGUUUAAUUCGAUGCUACGCGAAAAACCUCACCAAGGCUUGACAUACAGGAAGUAGUGAACCGAAAGGGGAACCACCCGUUAAGUCGGGAGCCUGAACAGGUGCUGCAUGGCUGUCGUCAGCUCGUGUCGUGAGAUGUUGGGUUAAGUCCCGCAACGAGCGCAACCAUUGCCUUAUGUUGCUAUCACAUGAACUUUGUUCGUGUGUGCACUCUUAAGGGACCGCCCGGGAUAACCGGGAGGAAGGUGGAGAUGACGUCAAGUCAGUACGGCCCUUAUGCCUUGGGCUACACACGUGUUACAAUGGCAGGUACAGAGGGUCGCCAACCCGCAAGGGGGAGCUAAUCUCAAAAAACCUGCCCCAGUUCGGAUAGCAGUCUGCAAUUCGACUGCUUGAAGCCGGAAUCGCUAGUAAUGGGAGAUCAGCACGCUCCCGUGAAUACGUUCCCGGGUCUUGCACACACCGCCCGU